GCUACACAUGCAAGUCGAGCGGAAACGAGUUAUCUGAACCUUCGGGGAACGAUAACGGCGUCGAGCGGCGGACGGGUGAGUAAUGCCUGGGAAAUUGCCCUGAUGUGGGGGAUAACCAUUGGAAACGAUGGCUAAUACCGCAUAAUAGCUUCGGCUCAAAGAGGGGGACCUUCGGGCCUCUCGCGUCAGGAUAUGCCCAGGUGGGAUUAGCUAGUUGGUGAGGUAAUGGCUCACCAAGGCGACGAUCCCUAGCUGGUCUGAGAGGAUGAUCAGCCACACUGGAACUGAGACACGGUCCAGACUCCUACGGGAGGCAGCAGUGGGGAAUAUUGCACAAUGGGCGCAAGCCUGAUGCAGCCAUGCCGCGUGUAUGAAGAAGGCCUUCGGGUUGUAAAGUACUUUCAGCAGCGAGGAAGGCGGGUGUGUUAAUAGCGCAUUCGUUUGACGUUAGCUGCAGAAGAAGCACCGGCUAACUCCGUGCCAGCAGCCGCGGUAAUACGGAGGGUGCGAGCGUUAAUCGGAAUUACUGGGCGUAAAGCGCAUGCAGGUGGUUUGUUAAGUCAGAUGUGAAAGCCCGGGGCUCAACCUCGGAAUUGCAUUUGAAACUGGCAGACUAGAGUACUGUAGAGGGGGGUAGAAUUUCAGGUGUAGCGGUGAAAUGCGUAGAGAUCUGAAGGAAUACCGGUGGCGAAGGCGGCCCCCUGGACAGAUACUGACACUCAGAUGCGAAAGCGUGGGGAGCAAACAGGAUUAGAUACCCUGGUAGUCCACGCCGUAAACGAUGUCUACUUGGAGGUUGUGGCCUUGAGCCGUGGCUUUCGGAGCUAACGCGUUAAGUAGACCGCCUGGGGAGUACGGUCGCAAGAUUAAAACUCAAAUGAAUUGACGGGGGCCCGCACAAGCGGUGGAGCAUGUGGUUUAAUUCGAUGCAACGCGAAGAACCCUUACCUACUCUUGACAUCCUCAGAGAGACUGGAGAACAGUCUGUGCUCGGGACUGAAAGAACAGUGCUGCAUGCUGUCGUCAGCUCGUGUUUGUGAAUGUUUGGG
This 1049-nucleotide ribosomal RNA is filed under the name uncultured bacterium. RNAcentral's name for it is "bacterial SSU rRNA". It matches the Rfam family "Bacterial small subunit ribosomal RNA", at positions 48 to 1080 of the family's 1533-position model. The record is from RNAcentral.